RNAcentral lists this ribosomal RNA (445 nucleotides) under Tylos ponticus. RNAcentral's name for it is "partial 12S small subunit ribosomal RNA". The record is from RNAcentral. Lineage: Eukaryota; Metazoa; Arthropoda; Malacostraca; Isopoda; Tylidae.
ACUUUGAAACCUGAGGUAAAAUUCCGUGUUUUAGAAGUCAAACACAUAAACUCUAAAUUCAUGGCCAUAAAAAAGGAUUAGAUACCCUUUUAUACUUGAAAAUCAGACUUUAAGUAGUAAAAAUUAUAUUUUUGAAAUUUAAAGGGUUUGGCGGCUUUUAGAAUGAUCAGGGGAGUUUGUAUUUUAAUCGACAGUACGCGUUAGACCUUACUUGAUUUAUGUUUGUAUACCGCCGUCUAAACACCCUCAGCAGAGUUCCGUUGGGAUCACAAGCACGCGAACGUCAGGUCAUGGUGCAGCAAUAAUCAAGGUAAUCACAAACUACAUUUUGUAAAGUAUUGGAGUUGAAAUUAAAAUUUUAAUGAAACCGGACUUGUAAGUAAUUACUGGAUUAGAAUACAGUAAUAAAUUUAAAACUAAAAGUGUACAUAUCGCCCGUCGCUCU